AAACGGUAGCUAAUACCGCAUAACGUCGCAAGACCAAAGAGGGGGACCUUCGGGCCUCUUGCCAUCGGAUGUGCCCAGAUGGGAUUAGCUUGUUGGUGGGGUAACGGCUCACCAAGGCGACGAUCCCUAGCUGGUCUGAGAGGAUGACCAGCCACACUGGAACUGAGACACGGUCCAGACUCCUACGGGAGGCAGCAGUGGGGAAUAUUGCACAAUGGGCGCAAGCCUGAUGCAGCCAUGCCGCGUGUAUGAAGAAGGCCUUCGGGUUGUAAAGUACUUUCAGCGGGGAGGAAGGGAGUAAAGUUAAUACCUUUGCUCAUUGACGUUACCCGCAGAAGAAGCACCGGCUAACUCCGUGCCAGCAGCCGCGGUAAUACGGAGGGUGCAAGCGUUAAUCGGAAUUACUGGGCGUAAAGCGCACGCAGGCGGUUUGUUAAGUCAGAUGUGAAAUCCCCGGGCUCAACCUGGGAACUGCAUCUGAUACUGGCAAGCUUGAGUCUCGUAGAGGGGGGUAGAAUUCCAGGUGUAGCGGUGAAAUGCGUAGAGAUCUGGAGGAAUACCGGUGGCGAAGGCGGCCCCCUGGACGAAGACUGACGCUCAGGUGCGAAAGCGUGGGGAGCAAACAGGAUUAGAUACCCUGGUAGUCCACGCCGUAAACGAUGUCGACUUGGAGGUUGUGCCCUUGAGGCGUGGCUUCCGGAGCUAACGCGUUAAGUCGACCGCCUGGGGAGUACGGCCGCAAGGUUAAAACUCAAAUGAAUUGACGGGGGCCCGCACAAGCGGUGGAGCAUGUGGUUUAAUUCGAUGCAACGCGAAGAACCUUACCUGGUCUUGACAUCCACGGAAGUUUUCAGAGAUGAGAAUGUGCCUUCGGGAACCGUGAGACAGGUGCUGCAUGGCUGUCGUCAGCUCGUGUUGUGAAAUGUUGGGUUAAGUCCCGCAACGAGCGCAACCCUUAUCCUUUGUUGCCAGCGGUCCGGCCGGGAACUCAAAGGAGACUGCCAGUGAUAAACUGGAGGAAGGUGGGGAUGACGUCAAGUCAUCAUGGCCCUUACGACCAGGGCUACACACGUGCUACAAUGGCGCAUACAAAGAGAAGCGACCUCGCGAGAGCAAGCGGACCUCAUAAAGUGCGUCGUAGUCCGGAUUGGAGUCUGCAACUCGACUCCAUGAAGUCGGAAUCGCUAGUAAUCGUGGAUCAGAAUGCCACGGUGAAUACGUUCCCGGGCCUUGUACACACCGCCCGUCACACCAUGGGAGUGGGUUGCAAAAGAAGUAGGUAGCUUAACCUUCGGGAGGGCGCUUACCACUUUGUGAUUCAUGACUGGGGUGAAGUCGUAACAAGGUAACCGUAGGGGAACCUGCGGUUGGAUCACCUCCUU
RNAcentral lists this ribosomal RNA (1382 nucleotides) under Escherichia coli. RNAcentral describes it as "bacterial SSU rRNA". It matches the Rfam family "Bacterial small subunit ribosomal RNA", at positions 154 to 1532 of the family's 1533-position model. The record is from RNAcentral. Lineage: Bacteria; Pseudomonadati; Pseudomonadota; Gammaproteobacteria; Enterobacterales; Enterobacteriaceae.